This 443-nucleotide ribosomal RNA is filed under the name uncultured bacterium. Its description in RNAcentral is "partial 16S ribosomal RNA". It matches the Rfam family "Bacterial small subunit ribosomal RNA", at positions 338 to 795 of the family's 1533-position model. The record is from RNAcentral.
CCUACGGGGGGCUGCAGUGGGGAAUAUUGGGCAAUGGGCGCAAGCCUGACCCAGCAACGCCGCGUGAAGGAAGAAGGCUUUCGGGUUGUAAACUUCUUUUCUCAGGGACGAAGCAAGUGACGGUACCUGAGGAAUAAGCCACGGCUAACUACGUGCAAGCAGCCGCGGUAAUACGUAGGGGGCAAGCGUUCUCCGGAUUUACUGGGUGUAAAGGGCGUGUAGGCGGGACUGCAAGUCAGAUGUGAAAACCACGGGCUCAACCUGUGGCCUGCAUUUGAAACUGUAGUUCUUGAGUACUGGAGAGGCAGACGGAAUGCCUAGUGUAGCGGUGAAAUGCGGAGAUAUUAGGAGGAACACCAGUGGCGAAGGCGGUCUGCUGGACAGCAACUGACGCGGAGGCGCGAAAGCGUGGGGAGCAAACAGGAUUAGAUACCCGGGUAGUC